AUGGCCUGGGCUCCGCUCUUCCUCACCCUCUUUGCUCACUGCACAGGGUCUUGGGCUGAGGUUGUGUUCACUCAGCCCCAAUCUGUGUCAGGGUCUCUGGGACAGACAGUCACCAUCUCCUGCACCCGCAGCAGUGGCAGCAUUGAUGAUAGAUAUGUGCACUGGUACCAGCAGCGCCCGGGCAGUGCCCCCACCACUGUGAUUUAUGAAGAUAACCAAAGACCCUCAGGGGUUCCUGAUCGGUUCUCUGGCUCCGUCGACAGCUCCUCCAAUGUCGCCUCCCUGACCAUCUCUGGGCUGCGGCCUGAGGACGAGGCCGACUACUACUGUCAGUCUUCUGAUGGCAGCUAUAUUCACACAGUGCACCAGAGCCAUGGGGAAGUCAGUUUUGUCCAGAGGGCAGCUUAUAAUGAAGACCUGUGUCCAGUAAACAUGCGAGCAGACCUGUAG
Galeopterus variegatus (Sunda flying lemur) is the source of this 450-nucleotide non-coding RNA. The record is from the annotation of a RefSeq genome assembly. Lineage: Eukaryota; Metazoa; Chordata; Mammalia; Dermoptera; Cynocephalidae.